UGAGUAACGCGUGAGAAUCUGGCUUCAGGUCGGGGACAACAGUUGGAAACGACGGCUAAUACCGGAUGUGCCGCAAGGUGAAAGAUUUAUUGCCUGAAGAUGAGCUCGCGUCUGAUUAGCUAGUUGGUGGGGUAAGAGCCUACCAAGGCGUCGAUCAGUAGCUGGUUUGAGAGGACGACCAGCCACACUGGGACUGAGACACGGCCCAGACUCCUACGGGAGGCAGCAGUGGGGAAUUUUCCGCAAUGGGCGAAAGCCUGACGGAGCAAUACCGCGUGAGGGAGGAAGGUUUUUGGACUGUAAACCUCUUUUGAUUGGGAAGAAGUUCUGACGGUACCAAUCGAAUAAGCAUCGGCUAACUCCGUGCCAGCAGCCGCGGUAAUACGGAGGAUGCAAGCGUUAUCCGGAAUUAUUGGGCGUAAAGCGUCCGCAGGUGGUAGUACAAGUCUGCUGUCAAAGACCGGAGCUCAACUCCGGAAAGGCAGUGGAAACUGUACAACUAGAGUACGGUAGGGGUAGAGGGAAUUCCCAGUGUAGCGGUGAAAUGCGUAGAGAUUGGGAAGAACAUCGGUGGCGAAAGCGCUCUACUGGGCCGUAACUGACACUCAGGGACGAAAGCUAAGGUAGCGAAAGGGAUUAGAUACCCCUGUAGUCUUAGCUGUAAACGAUGGAUACUAGGCGUAGCUUGUAUCGACCCGAGCUGUGCCGAAGCUAACGCGUUAAGUAUCCCGCCUGGGGAGUACGCACGCAAGUGUGAAACUCAAAGGAAUUGACGGGGGCCCGCGCAAGCGGUGGAGUAUGUGGUUUAAUUCGAUGCAACGCGAAGAACCUUACCAGGACUUGA
This 844-nucleotide ribosomal RNA is filed under the name uncultured bacterium. RNAcentral's name for it is "bacterial SSU rRNA". It matches the Rfam family "Bacterial small subunit ribosomal RNA", at positions 107 to 984 of the family's 1533-position model. The record is from RNAcentral.